GACGAACGCUGGCGGCGUGCUUAACACGUGCAAGUCGAACGGAAAGGCCUCUUUCGGGGGGUACUCGAGUGGCGAACGGGUGAGUAACACGUGAGUAACCUGCCCUUGACUUUGGGAUAACUUCAGGAAACUGGGGCUAAUACCGGAUAGGAGCUCCUGCUGCAUGGUGGGGGUUGGAAAGUUUCGGCGGUUGGGGGUGGACUCGCGGCUUAUCAGCUUGUUGGUGGGGUAGUGGCUUACCAAGGCUUUGACGGGUAGCCGGCCUGGGAGGGUGAACGGCCAAAUUGGGACUGGGAUACGGCCCAGACUCCUACGGGAGGCAGGCGUGGGGAAUAUUGGAAAAUGGGUGGAAGCCUGAUGCAGCAAACCCGGGGGGGGGAUGACGGCCUUCGGGUUGUAAACCGCUUUCGCUCAUGACGAAGCUCUGUGUGACGGUAGUGGGUAAAGAAGCACCGGCUAACUACGUG
RNAcentral lists this ribosomal RNA (467 nucleotides) under uncultured bacterium. RNAcentral describes it as "partial 16S ribosomal RNA". It matches the Rfam family "Bacterial small subunit ribosomal RNA", at positions 28 to 507 of the family's 1533-position model. The record is from RNAcentral.